GCGUUUGUAGCUUAGUGGUUAGAGCGUGUUGUUUCUAAGCAAAAGGUUGUGGGUUCAAACCCUUCCUGACGCA
This 73-nucleotide transfer RNA is filed under the name Spinacia oleracea (spinach). It matches the Rfam family "tRNA". From Rfam's summary of the family: Transfer RNA (tRNA) molecules are approximately 80 nucleotides in length. Lineage: Eukaryota; Viridiplantae; Streptophyta; Magnoliopsida; Caryophyllales; Amaranthaceae. The record is from Rfam by way of RNAcentral.